GAAGUAAAAUAAAUUUGAAAAUGUCAUAUUGAUGACUGAUAAUGGUUUAAUUUAAUUAUAAACCUUUUUAUGAAACUUAAUUUUUGAUUCCUAUUUUUGAAUGAAGUAUUGAUGCAGCGCAAGAAGAUGACAGUCUUGGAAGACUAGUCAAUGAUGACCACAUCUAUCCAAACUGCAAAAUGAAGAGGGUCAUAGCAGAGGGCAAGCCACAUCUUUGUCUUUUUGCUCUGAGAGACAUUAAGGCUGGAGAAGAAAUAACGUAUGACUAUGGAGGAUCUGAUUGGCCUUGGAGAAAACAGGUUUGUAACUCUUGAAUUGUGUGAUGUAGAUUAGUGAAUGUGCAUAUUUGCUUUCAUGAGGAGAUCGGUGAAGGAUUUGUGUUUCUUUUGUGAGAUUUAUUCUGCUACUGGUUUUUUAAUCUGAGUUUUUUUAAAUCAAAUGACAGUGAUUGCUAAUGCUAAUAAGUUUGAAGGGACAAAUACAGGAAAAAAGCCUUUUCUUCAGUACAGGGACAAUAUACUUAAGCUAAAUAACCAGAAGUGUGUUCUGCCACUCUUCAGCUUUCCUUAUUCUUAAUUACAGUAGUAUAUUAGCAGACAUCUGUGCUAAAUUGAAAAUUUAAUAAUCAAAUAUAACUGACUUUUAGUUGUAUACAGAGACUAUUUAAGUUGCAUCAUCAAUUGCAUGUUUCCUGUAUACAUGUACUUCAUAUUGUGACUGAUUCAUACAAGUGUUAAUGCUGAUAUGCUAAAUACAGAUAUUGAAUUCAUUUGUCAGGCUAAAGUGCAAGAAACUGCAUCUGAUACACUGUCAUCAGAGGAGGUUCCCCAGAGUCCUUCCCCCUCCAAGAUGCAGGCUAAAGUGCAAAAUACUGCAGCUGAUACACUGUCAUCAGAGGAGGUUCCUCAGAGCCCUUCGUUCUCCGAGAUGCAGGCUAAAACACAAGAAACUAGCGCUGAUACACUGUCAUCAGAAGAGGUUCCUCAGAGCCCUUCCCUCUCCGAGAUGCAGGCUAAAACACAAGAAACUAGCGCUGAUACACUGUCAUCAGAAGAGGUUCCUCAGAGCCCUUCCCUCUCCGAGAUGCAGGCUAAAACACAAGAAACUAGCGCUGAUACACUGUCAUCAGAGGAGGUUCCUCAGAGCCCUUUGUUCUCCGAGAUGCAGGCUAAAACACAAGAAACGGGCGCUGAUACACUGUCAUCAGAGGAGGUACCUCAGAGCCCUUCCCUCUCCCAUAUGCAGAGUUUACAAGAAGCAGGAGUCUUUCAUUCAAUGAAAACUAUAAAAUCAGAACCGCUUGUGAACUACACUGAUUCUGAUGAUGAGAGUCCAUCCAUAAGUCCUGACCAAUUGAAGUCAACAUGCCAGAUGACAAGACAACUAGAUUUGGAUGAGCACUUUGACUUUACAUCCGAUCCUAGUGAAAAUGCACACGAGGACAGUGACAAUGAGGCAGCAAGUGAGUCAGAGCCACAAGAGAAUGUGGAUGAGGACAAUGACAGUGGAGCAGCAUGUGGGUCAGGGUCACAAGAGAGUGUGGAUGUACUUGACGACAGCAUCAAUGGGGCAGCAUGUAAGUCACAAGAGUGUCUGGUUAAAUGUAAUCAGACUGAAGAUGGCAAGGCUACACUGACGGAUGUUAGUGAUUCAGCACCACAUCAAAGUUUCAUGGCUACAACAUAUAAGUCACCAAAACAAAUAGGUUGGCAUAUUAACAAUUUUACUAGCAUUUUUGCUUAAGAAGUAUACUUUUCAUGAAUUCAGAUAUAGUGUUGUCUUCUCCUUGUGCAUUUAUAGUCUUCAAAUGAUUUUUAAUGAAGCAUUUUUCAUAUAUAGACCUAUACACCAAUAUUAAUUUGAGUUGUGUAAUUGUACAGGUCGCCAAGUUUUCAAAAGAAGGAAAUGGGAGAAUGAAGAGGUACAAGCUGUUGAAAGACAUCUGAUGCACUUCAUUACCUCAUGCCGUGUUCCAGGAAAACUUGAAAUUGAUAAGUGUCUUGGGGUUGAAAAUGUGGCGCUGAAAGACAGGGACUGGUUGUCCAUAAAGUUUUAUGUCAAGAACCGUAUAACAGCUUUGAAAAGAAAGGCCUUUGAAACUGGCCUCUGAAACACAGUUCAAUAGUAACUGUUCAAUUGUUUGUCUAAAGCAGCGUUUUUGUUUACAAUGCUGUAACUGAAUAAUUCUUAUAUUUGAAUGACUACCUUUUUUGUUCAUAUUUUUAUAAACAAAUCUUCUAUAUCAGAAUAUGAAUCUGAUCUUUUUUUUUUUUUUACAGAAGUUCAAGGUAAAUACCAGUAACUAAUGUUCAAAUAAAAUUAUGUGGCUUACACA
RNAcentral lists this long non-coding RNA (2335 nucleotides) under Betta splendens (Siamese fighting fish). Its description in RNAcentral is "lncRNA (ENSBSLG00000005432.1)". The record is from RNAcentral. Lineage: Eukaryota; Metazoa; Chordata; Actinopteri; Anabantiformes; Osphronemidae.